RNAcentral lists this long non-coding RNA (612 nucleotides) under Taeniopygia guttata (zebra finch). RNAcentral's name for it is "lncRNA (ENSTGUG00000023501.1)". Lineage: Eukaryota; Metazoa; Chordata; Aves; Passeriformes; Estrildidae. The record is from RNAcentral.
AUGCACAGCGGGGGUGCGGGGAUGCACAGCGGGGGUGCGGGAUGCACACGCGGGGGUGCGGGGGUGCGGGAUGCACACGCGGGGUGCGGGUUCCGCCCCCGGCCGCCUUCACCGGCCCACAGCGCGGCCGGGCCCGGCCACGCGGCACCGCGACAUGGCGGCGGGGCCCGCGCGUCCCCGCGGCCCCGGGCGGGCGGCAGCGCCGGGCGGGCGGUCCCGAGAGCCCGGCCCGGUCCCGCUCCUGCUGCGGCCCGGCCCCGUGAGCCCGGCCCGGCCCCUCGAGCCCGCCCCCGCUCCUGCUGCAGCCCGGCCCGGCCCCGAGAGCCCGCCCCCGCUCCUGCUGCGGCCCGGCCCCGCAGGCUCCGCAGGCGCCGCCGGAUGUGGCGGCCCCCGGCGGGGCGGGCCGGGGCGGGGUUGGCGGAUCCCAUAAAUUGCCUCGCGCGGAGCCGCGCGGCCUCUUGCUCCGGAUCGGCCGAGGCCGGAGCCUCGUGGGAGCCGCGCCCGGAGCCAGCCCGGCCAUGGGGGCGCGUCCCCGGCGUGCGCCGGCAGCCCCGAGCCUCUGCCGGGGCCAGGCGGGCACUGUGGAGGCAGAGGUGGGGAGCUGAGCCUUAG